ACCUCGCGUGAGGGAUAGAAGCGAAAAGCCCGGAGCGUGGACGGGUUUGUGCGGCUAGGGUGAGGACUUGUAGCAGAUAGCCCGACCCGUA
This 91-nucleotide unclassified non-coding RNA is filed under the name Ohtaekwangia koreensis. RNAcentral's name for it is "Flavo-1 RNA". The record is from RNAcentral. Lineage: Bacteria; Pseudomonadati; Bacteroidota; Cytophagia; Cytophagales; Fulvivirgaceae.